UACGUAGGUGGCAAGCGUUGUCCGGAUUUACUGGGUGUAAAGGGCGAGCAGCCGGAGAGACAAGUCAGAUGUGAAAUCCACGGGCUCAACUCGUGAACUGCAUUUGAAACUGUUUCCCUUGAGUGUCGGAGAGGUAAUCGGAAUUCCUUGUGUAGCGGUGAAAUGCGUAGAUAUAAGGAAGAACACCAGUGGCGAAGGCGGAUUACUGGACGAUAACUGACGGUGAGGCGCGAAAGCGUGGGGAGCAAACAGG
This 253-nucleotide ribosomal RNA is filed under the name uncultured bacterium. RNAcentral's name for it is "partial 16S ribosomal RNA". It matches the Rfam family "Bacterial small subunit ribosomal RNA", at positions 524 to 776 of the family's 1533-position model. The record is from RNAcentral.